UUUCCGGUUGAUCCUGCCGCCGGCCACCGCUAUCAAGUUCCGACUAAGCCAUGCGAGUCAAGGUAUCGUAAGAUGCCGGCAAACUGCUCAGUAACACGUGGAUAAUCUAACCUUGAGUAAGGGAUAACCUCGGGAAACUGAGGAUAAUACCUUAUAAUUGCUUAAAACUGGAAUGUUUAAGCAAUAAAAGUUCCGACGCUCAAGGAUGAGUCUGCGACCUAUCAGGUAGUAGGUGGUGUAAUGGACCACCUAGCCUCAGACGGGUACGGGCCCUGGGAGGGGUAGCCCGGAGAUGGACUCUGAGACAUAAGUCCAGGCCCUACGGGGCGCAGCAGGCGCGAACACUGUGCAAUGCGCGAAAGCGCGACACGGGGAGCUUGAGUGUCUUGGCAUAGCCAAGACUUUUCUCAUUCCUAAAAAGCAUGAGGAAUAAGUGCUGGGUAAGACGGGUGCCAGCCGCCGCGGUAACACCCGCAGCACAAGUGGUGGUCACUUUUAUUGAGCCUAAAGCGUUCGUAGCCGGUUUUGUAAAUCUUUAGAUAAAGCCUGAAGCUUAACUCCAGAAAGUCUGAAGAGACUGCAAGACUUGAGAUCGGGUGAGGUUAAACGUACUUUCAGAGUAGGGGUAAAAUCCUGUAAUCCCGGAAGGACGACCAGUGGCGAAAGCGUUUAACUAGAACGAAUCUGACGGUAAGGAACGAAGGCUAGGGUAGCAAACCGGAUUAGAUACCCGGGUAGUCCUAGCUGUAAACACUGCCCAUUUGAUGUUGCUUUUCCGUUGAGGGAAGGCAGUGUCGGAGCGAAGGUGUUAAAUGGGCCGCUUGGGAAGUAUGGUCGCAAGACUGAAACUUAAAGGAAUUGGCGGGGGAGCACCGCAACGGGAGGAAUGUGCGGUUUAAUUGGAUUCAACGCCGGA
This 916-nucleotide ribosomal RNA is filed under the name uncultured archaeon. RNAcentral's name for it is "bacterial SSU rRNA". It matches the Rfam family "Archaeal small subunit ribosomal RNA", at positions 1 to 922 of the family's 1478-position model. The record is from RNAcentral.